RNAcentral lists this ribosomal RNA (484 nucleotides) under uncultured bacterium. RNAcentral's name for it is "partial 16S ribosomal RNA". It matches the Rfam family "Bacterial small subunit ribosomal RNA", at positions 30 to 507 of the family's 1533-position model. The record is from RNAcentral.
AUUGAACGCUGGCGGCAGGCCUAACACAAGCAAGUCGAGCGGAUGAAGGGAGCUUGCUCCUGGAUUCAGCGGCGGACGGGUGAGUAAUGCCUAGGAAUCUGCCUGGUAGUGGGGGAUAACGUCCGGAAACGGGCGCUAAUACCGCAUACGUCCUGAGGGAGAAAGUGGGGGAUCUUCGGACCUCACGCUAUCAGACGAGCCUAGGUCGGAUUAGCUAGUUGGUGGGGUAAAGGCCUACCAAGGCGACGAUCCGUAACUGGUCUGAGAGGAUGAUCAGUCACACUGGAACUGAGACACGGUCCAGACUCCUACGGGAGGCAGCAGUGGGGAAUAUUGGACAAUGGGCGAAAGCCUGAUCCAGCCAUGCCGCGUGUGUGAAGAAGGUCUUCGGAUUGUAAAGCACUUUAAGUUGGGAGGAAGGGCAGUAAGUUAAUACCUUGCUGUUUUGACGUUACCAACAGAAUAAGCACCGGCUAACUUCGUG